This is a non-coding RNA of Pelobates cultripes (western spadefoot toad), 1724 nucleotides long. The record is from the annotation of a GenBank genome assembly. Lineage: Eukaryota; Metazoa; Chordata; Amphibia; Anura; Pelobatidae.
CUUUUUAUUAUCAGUAGGGUAAAUGCGAUUCAUCAUAACAAUCUGAUUAUAUUUUUUCUAAAGAAAUAUAGCGUGCUCUUAGGUCCUGAUUAAAGCUAUUUAAAAAAGGAAUUUCUGUUUAAAGAUUAAAGAGUAAAAGUUUAAGAUAAAACCAUGCUUCUGCAGACUUGUAUGUGAGUUGCCAAAGUCUAUGGAAGGUACCAAGCCCAUUAAACAGAUCUAUAGAAUACAAAACGCAAAACAGAGUCAAGCUUUUCUGUAGCUAAAUCUGCCAGUCUAAAAAUAGGGACAUUCGUGCAUGACCUGAUAUUGCCACGAGCACAAGGGACACUUGCAGAAUGAAAUUGAAAGAGGAAAAGCUAUUUGGAGUAAUGGCACUUCAAUAUAUUGGUAUGGAGCAAAUGACUAUCACAAGAGAGAUUUUUUUUCUCUGACUCCUGAAAAAAAAUGAGAAAUAGAAUAUUGAGUUUUUAAAUUCUUACCUAAAUCUCCUAGGACUUAUUUAUAGUGGCAAUUACACUCAGUGUGAGCUGUGCUAUUAAUAUGUAUGUCUGAUAUAAAAUUAACAUUUGCAUGUAUUUCAUGUUUUUAUUAUUAGCAAACAUCAGGUGUUGAUUACUAAAACAUGUAUAUCGGAAUGGGGCAACUAAUCAUUAAUGGAGUGUAAAUAUCUCGACAAGAAUCUCCAAAAUGUAGAUCAACAACUAUUAUAAAACAACUCCAAUGAUGCUUUGUCAGUCUUAACAAUGGAUUUUUUUAAAAUUAAACAAAAAAUUACCCGUCUCUACAUUGGCAUGUGAUGAAUACAUAUAAAAUGUCAAACAAUUUAUUUUCAAGGAGAAUAACACAAAUAUGUAUUAUAAUAACUGUUAACCAUGUAGUGAUUUGGGGCAUAAAAAAAAAAAAAGGCAAAGUCUAGACUGCCAAUGGAAUUAACACAUGUAAAAUAUUAUGUAAUACACUCCAGUAAAAAAAACGGCUCCUUCCAAGCAGACGAAAUUCACGGAUCCAGUCCGGGGCACGAAAAAGGACAAGAGCCCCCGCACUCUCCAUUCUACACGGAUGAGGUGGUCACGGAGAAGUGCCUAGACAGAAUGCUGCAAAGAAUGCAGGCUACCAUCUCUGCAGACCGUAAGAUGCUCCGAGUCUGCUAGUUAGAAAGGAUAUAUCUGAACUUUGGGACCGCACAAGUCAUCUUGAGCAACGCACUGAGGAGUUGUGCGAAGCCCACUAUGAAGUUGUGGACAAAGUGCAAAAGUUUACUUAAGAAAAUUCAGCGUUAAAAAACAAAAUUGCGGACAUAGAAGACGGGUUGCGGAGAGAGAACGUGAGAUUUAGGGGUAUCCCUGAAAAUAUCUUGCAAGAAGCGCUUCCUGCCUACAUCAAAGCCAUCUGCAAGGCCGUAGUCCUGGAGGCACCAGAUACUGCAUGGCAAUUUGACUGUCUGCACAGACUACCAAUACCGGCGAGAUUCACUGUGGACACCCUCAGGGAUGUGAUCGAGUAUUAUCACUAUCACUACAAGAACCUACUACUCACGGCAGCACAGAAUUCUGUGCAAUCACAAUAUCUCCUACAAAUGGGGAUAUCCCGCAAAGCUAUUGGUAUGGAAGGAAGGCAGAACACGUUAUGGCAGAUCCAGAUGACUGCUUUAACUGAAGGACUGGGGGGCUCUCAGCCACUUCAAGUGCCAAUCCACAGAAAGGUAUCUGCUAUGUUGUUAC